ACUUGACGGUACCUGGCCAGAAAGCCACGGCUAACUACGUGCCAGCAGCCGCGGUAAUACGUAGGUGGCAAGCGUUGUCCGGGAAUUAUUGGGCGUAAAGCGCGCGCAGGCGGCCUUUUAAGUCUGAUGUGAAAGCCCACGGCUCAACCGUGGAGGGUCAUUGGAAACUGGAAGGCUUGAGUGCAGAAGAGAAGAGCGGAAUUCCACGUGUAGCGGUGAAAUGCGUAGAGAUGUGGAGGAACACCAGUGGCGAAGGCGGCUCUUUGGUCUGUAACUGACGCUGAGGCGCGAAAGCGUGGGGAGCGAACAGGAUUAGAUACCCUGGUAGUCCACGCCGUAAACGAUGAGUGCUAAGUGUUGGGGGGUUUCCGCCCCUCAGUGCUGCAGCUAACGCAUUAAGCACUCCGCCUGGGGAGUACGGCCGCAAGGCUGAAACUCAAAGGAAUUGACGGGGGCCCGCACAAGCGGUGGAGCAUGUGGUUUAAUUCGAAGCAACGCGAAGAACCUUACCAGGUCUUGACAUCCCGCUGACCGGUCUGGAGACAGAUCUUCCCCUUCGGGGGCAGCGGUGACAGGUGGUGCAUGGUUGUCGUCAGCUCGUGUCGUGAGAUGUUGGGUUAAGUCCCGCAACGAGCGCAACCCUUGAUCUUAGUUGCCAGCAUUUAGUUGGGCACUCUAAGGUGACUGCCGGUGACAAACCGGAGGAAGGUGGGGAUGACGUCAAAUCAUCAUGCCCCUUAUGACCUGGGCUACACACGUGCUACAAUGGAUGGUACAAAGGGCUGCAAGACCGCGAGGUUUAGCCAAUCCCAUAAAACCAUUCUCAGUUCGGAUUGCAGGCUGCAACUCGCCUGCAUGAAGCUGGAAUCGCUAGUAAUCGCGGAUCAGCAUGCCGCGGUGAAUACGUUCCCGGGCCUUGUACACACCGCCCGUCACACCACGAGAGUUUGCAACACCCGAAGUCGGUGGGGUAACCCUUACGGGAGCCAGCCGCCAUCCA
Molecule: ribosomal RNA, 1000 nt
Filed under: Domibacillus indicus
Lineage: Bacteria; Bacillati; Bacillota; Bacilli; Caryophanales; Bacillaceae
Description: bacterial SSU rRNA
Rfam family: Bacterial small subunit ribosomal RNA
Source: RNAcentral